This 454-nucleotide ribosomal RNA is filed under the name uncultured bacterium. RNAcentral describes it as "bacterial SSU rRNA". It matches the Rfam family "Bacterial small subunit ribosomal RNA", at positions 10 to 507 of the family's 1533-position model. The record is from RNAcentral.
AGUUUGAUCAUGGCUCAGGACGAACGCUGGCGGUGUGCUUCACACAUGCAAGUCGAACGAGGUAGCAAUACCUAGUGGCGGACGGGUGAGUAACGCGUGGGAAUCUGCCUUUAGAUGGGGGAUAACGGGUCGAAAGACUCGCUAAUACCGCAUAUGACGAAAGUUGAAAGGAGUAAUCCGUCUAAAGAUGGGCCCGCGUCCGAUUAGCUAGUUGGUAGAGUAAAAGCCUACCAAGGCGACGAUCGGUAGCUGGUCUGAGAGGAUGAUCAGCCACAAUGGGACUGAGACACGGCCCAUACUCCUACGGGAGGCAGCAGUGGGGAAUUUUACGCAAUGGGCGAAAGCCUGACGUAGCGACACCGCGUGAGCGAAGAAGCCCCUUGGGGUGUAAAGCUCUGUCAGCUGGAACGAAAAAAUGACGGUACCAGCAGAGGAAGCAUCGGCUAACUACGUG